CUCGGGUGUCUCCAUAUAUGACCAGCCCUCGCCGCACGUCGAUUCCCCACUCGCCCAUCCCCGGAAAAUCCCCAACCACAGGCACCACUGGCUCUGGCGCGAUUUCAAAGCCUCCUCCGCUCUCGAGAGAUGUGAAGGCCGCCGAUCUACCGGGUUAGUGCCGAGCCGCCUCCCUCAUCCCUCACAUCGCCCCACAACUGUCGAGUCGUACCACGCAAGUAAAUCGAGGUUCUGUGAUGUGACCUAGAUCAUCUAUAGGCACUGCCACGCCCGUUUGAGCAUCCAUCUCGCCUAUUGAUUCUGCAGGCGAAGGUCAUCCUGGUCCCUCCACGUGCCAGAGAUGCCCGAGCCUGUGUGUUGCCGAUACCUGCAUGAGCACACGGUCGAGUAGUUCGAUCCAAAGAGGUGAAGAAGUUCAGGGAGAGACAUGGGUCUCUACUGGAGUAGACAGCGAUAGAGGAUAAAUGAGAAAGAUGGAUACGUUGAUAGGCAUACUGCAUUGAUCAUUGUGGCCACCACCACUUUUGGCCGUGUGACAGGCUACCUGCGAAUCUACAAACUAGGGAGACAAAUUGCAAUGAAGUUUUCUUGACCAUUUGAUGAUUUAUUUGUGUUUGGUUUUGCCGAUUAUGUGCAUAUACUUGGAUGUAGUAUUGCUUAUUCCGACUGUGUGUCUAGAAAUCUAGGAGGUUUGGACAGCAAGUGAUUGUUUUUUCUGCCAUGCCACAUUUUCUUGGCAACUCAACGUAAAUACGAGUACAUCUUAUCCUUACAAUGUGUGUCGCCUCUACCCAUUGUUUAAACUUGCACUUCUGUAUAAUCAAAUUUCAUAGUUCUUCUCGACGCCCAUCAUCAUCAUGGCCCAAUCCUCAGCCACCCCAUUGCAAGAUGUGAUUACUGUGGUCAAAUAGAUUGGUUCUCUUCUGAUCUCUUCUGAACAUUGGAGUAACAUAUCACCAUUUGGCCAGCUCUAUCUCUUCUGCACCUCUUCGUCCGUGGAAAAGGGAUGAAGCUAUUGGUGUUGAAAUGUGGAACACAUGUCUGAAGUUGGCACCAACGCUCCAACGCAAGCUUUUACAUGGCUUUUGUUACAGAAGAUGUAUCACAGAAGCACUUUAUUAUAAAUGCAAAAUCCUGGCAGCAACUUUUGUUCAGCACUCAUGCUUGUAAUCAUUAGCAAGGCUGUGAAGAAAAGGGUGUGAAAUAUUUUUAUUGGUGCAUGCUGCAAA
Molecule: long non-coding RNA, 1229 nt
Organism: Triticum dicoccoides
Lineage: Eukaryota; Viridiplantae; Streptophyta; Magnoliopsida; Poales; Poaceae
Exons: 2
Source: RefSeq, a predicted model, not a curated record